GGCGGGGUCAGCUAACGAAGCUUUCGGGCCCAUACCCCGGACAUGACGGUUAAACUCCUUCCCCCACCA
This 69-nucleotide transfer RNA is filed under the name Ptychobarbus kaznakovi. Its description in RNAcentral is "tRNA-Met". Lineage: Eukaryota; Metazoa; Chordata; Actinopteri; Cypriniformes; Cyprinidae. The record is from RNAcentral.